UACGUAGGUGACAAGCGUUGUCCGGAAUUAUUGGGCGUAAAGAGCUCGUAGGCGGUCUGUCGCGUCUGCUGUGAAAACUCAGGGCUUAACCCCGGGCCUGCAGUGGGUACGGGCAGACUAGAGUGCGGUAGGGGAGACUGGAAUUCCUGGUGUAGCGGUGAAAUGCGCAGAUAUCAGGAGGAACACCGGUGGCGAAGGCGGGUCUCUGGGCCGUAACUGACGCUGAGGGGCGAAAGCAUGGGGAGCGAACAGG
This 253-nucleotide ribosomal RNA is filed under the name uncultured bacterium. Its description in RNAcentral is "partial 16S ribosomal RNA". It matches the Rfam family "Bacterial small subunit ribosomal RNA", at positions 524 to 776 of the family's 1533-position model. The record is from RNAcentral.